CAGUCGCCGCGGUAAUACGGAGGGGGCUAGCGUUGUUCGGAAUUACUGGGCGUAAAGCGUGCGUAGGUGGUGGUUUAAGUCCGUUGUGAAAGCCCUGGGCUCAACCUGGGAAUUGCAGUGGAUACUGGGUCACUAGAGUGUGGUAGAGGAUAGUGGAAUUUCCGGUGUAGCAGUGAAAUGCGUAGAGAUCGGAAGGAACAUCUGUGGCGAAGGCGACUAUCUGGGCCAACACUGACACUGAGGCACGAAAGCGUGGGGAGCAAACAGGAUUAGAUACCCCGGUAGUCCCUGUCUCUUAUAC
RNAcentral lists this ribosomal RNA (301 nucleotides) under uncultured bacterium. Its description in RNAcentral is "partial 16S ribosomal RNA". It matches the Rfam family "Bacterial small subunit ribosomal RNA", at positions 509 to 807 of the family's 1533-position model. The record is from RNAcentral.